GAGCCUGGAAAGUAGACUCGAAGGCUGGGCUGAGCUAGGCAUUGGCAUGGCUCAUUUUGGUCAUACCUUGGGGUUGAACCUCAUCUAUCCGAUGAGUAAGUCUAAUUGUGGAGCAUGUCACCACUGCCAAACACGACACUAUGGUUGAGCACGUCACUAUGAUUGAGCAAGUUGAUCGGCCUCUCCUGCAUAGCUGACGGUCGGAUCCAGUCUACCAUUGAACUCACCUCCUCUCCCUCACCUUCUCUCCUCCUCGAACUCCUCUUACACCCUCAACAAGCUCCCUAUUGGCAACGACCGACAAUGUCGCCUACCCGCCUUGCAGACAUGUGAAGAACAUGACCGGACUCCAUCAUGGUCGCCGCCAUCUCCGAUAUCACCUAGACUUACUCCAUCCUUGAGACCCUUGACGAGCAUCCCGACCACGAGACUACUGUCGAUGUUAAGCUUCCAGCU
RNAcentral lists this long non-coding RNA (456 nucleotides) under Phoenix dactylifera (date palm). RNAcentral's name for it is "long non-coding RNA (PDAC_LNC020577)". The record is from RNAcentral. Lineage: Eukaryota; Viridiplantae; Streptophyta; Magnoliopsida; Arecales; Arecaceae.